This 72-nucleotide transfer RNA is filed under the name Bos taurus (domestic cattle). It matches the Rfam family "tRNA". Rfam says of the family: Transfer RNA (tRNA) molecules are approximately 80 nucleotides in length. Their secondary structure includes four short double-helical elements and three loops (D, anti-codon, and T loops). RNAcentral also lists the same sequence under 1 other name. Lineage: Eukaryota; Metazoa; Chordata; Mammalia; Artiodactyla; Bovidae. The record is from Rfam by way of RNAcentral.
UCCCGAGUGGCUCAGAUGGUAAAGCAUCUGCCCUCAAUACAGGAGACCCAGGUUUGAUCCCUGGGUUGGGAA